UACGGAGGGUGCAAGCGUUAAUCGGAAUCACUGGGCGUAAAGGGCGCGUAGGCGGCCUGGUAAGUCAGGGGUGAAAUCCCACGGCUCAACCGUGGAAUUGCCUUUGAAACUGCUGGGCUUGGAUCCUGGAGAGGGUGGCGGAAUUCCUGGUGUAGGGGUGAAAUCCGUAGAUAUCGGGAGGAACACCAGCGGCGAAGGCGGUUCUCUGGUUGACUUCUGACGCUGAGGCACGAAAGCUAGGGGAGCAAACAGG
Molecule: ribosomal RNA, 253 nt
Filed under: uncultured microorganism
Description: partial 16S ribosomal RNA
Rfam family: Bacterial small subunit ribosomal RNA
Source: RNAcentral